This 253-nucleotide ribosomal RNA is filed under the name uncultured bacterium. RNAcentral's name for it is "partial 16S ribosomal RNA". It matches the Rfam family "Bacterial small subunit ribosomal RNA", at positions 524 to 776 of the family's 1533-position model. The record is from RNAcentral.
UACGUAGGGUGCAAGCGUUGUUCGGAAUUACUGGGCGUAAAGGGCGCGUAGGCGGGUCUGUAAGUCGUCUGUGAAAUCCCCGGGCUUAACCUGGGAAUGGCAGAUGAUACUGCAGAUCUUGAGUGCUUGAGAGGAUGGCGGAAUUCCAGGUGUAGAAGUGAAAUUCGUAGAUAUCUGGAGGAACACCGGAGGCGAAGGCGGCUGUCUGGCAAGACACUGACGCUGAGGCGCGAAAGCGUGGGGAUCAAACAGG